This 429-nucleotide ribosomal RNA is filed under the name Chloroflexota bacterium. Its description in RNAcentral is "Chloroflexi bacterium partial 16S ribosomal RNA". It matches the Rfam family "Bacterial small subunit ribosomal RNA", at positions 355 to 776 of the family's 1533-position model. The record is from RNAcentral. Lineage: Bacteria; Bacillati; Chloroflexota.
UGGGGAAUAUUGCACAAUGGGCGCAAGCCUGAUGCAGCCAUGCCGCGUGUGUGAAGAAGGCCUUCGGGUUGUAAAGCACUUUCAGCGGGGAGGAAGGCGGUGAGGUUAAUAACCUCAUCGAUUGACGUUACCCGCAGAAGAAGCACCGGCUAACUCCGUGCCAGCAGCCGCGGUAAUACGGAGGGUGCAAGCGUUAAUCGGAAUUACUUGGCGUAAAGCGCACGCAGGCGGUCUGUCAAGUCGGAUGUGAAAUCCCCGGGCUCAACCUGGGAACUGCAUUCGAAACUGGCAGGCUAGAGUCUUGUAGAGGGGGGUAGAAUUACAGGUGUAGCGGUGAAAUGCGUAGAGAUCUGGAGGAAUACCGGUGGCGAAGGCGGCCACCUGGACAAAGACUGACGCUCAGGUGCGAAAGCGUGGGGAGCAAACAGG